GUGCUCGCUUCGGCAGCACAUAUACUAAAAUUGGAACAAUAUAGAGAAGAUUAGCAUGGCCCCUGUGCAAGGAUGAUACACAAAUUCGUGAAAUGUUCCAUAUUUUU
Molecule: small nuclear RNA, 107 nt
Filed under: Dasypus novemcinctus (nine-banded armadillo)
Lineage: Eukaryota; Metazoa; Chordata; Mammalia; Cingulata; Dasypodidae
Source: RNAcentral